RNAcentral lists this ribosomal RNA (460 nucleotides) under uncultured bacterium. RNAcentral's name for it is "partial 16S ribosomal RNA". It matches the Rfam family "Bacterial small subunit ribosomal RNA", at positions 338 to 795 of the family's 1533-position model. The record is from RNAcentral.
CCUACGGGUGGCAGCAGUGAGGAAUAUUGGUCAAUGGGCGGAAGCCUGAACCAGCCAAGUAGCGUGCAGGAUGACGGCCCUACGGGUUGUAAACUGCUUUUAUACGGGAAUAACGCGCCUUACGUGUAGGGCUUUGCAUGUACCGUAUGAAUAAGGACCGGGUCAUUCCGUGCCAGCAGCCGCGGUAAUACGGAAGGUCCGGGCGUUAUCCGGAUUUAUUGGGUUUAACGGGAGCGUAGGCCGCAUGUCAAGCGUGCUGUGAAAUGUCCGGGCUCAACCCGGGCCUUGCAGCGCGAACUGGCGUGCUUGAGUCCGCGGAAAGCAGGCGGAAUUCGUCGUGUAGCGGUGAAAUGCGUAGAGAUGACGAAGAACCCCGAUGGCGAAGGCAGCUUGCUGCAGCGGAACUGACGCUGAUGCUCGAAAGCGCGGGUAGCGAACAGGAUUAGAUACCCUUGUAGUC